Perognathus longimembris pacificus (Pacific pocket mouse) is the source of this 339-nucleotide long non-coding RNA. RefSeq lists it as uncharacterized. The transcript has 4 exons. NCBI's taxonomy places the organism in Eukaryota, Metazoa, Chordata, Mammalia, Rodentia, Heteromyidae. The record is from RefSeq and is a predicted model, not a curated record.
CAAUAUAUUUGGAAUCUUUCAGAAAAGAAUAUCCUCAUUCUUUUUGGCUGUAAACUAUUCUUACAUUUACACAAUUCUUACACUUACAUAAUUCUUAAAUUUACACAAUGAAAAUAAUAUACUGCUACACUAAGUGAAACUAAAUUAUCAACCACAAAGCAAUUAAGAAAAUAAAGCUGAGUUAUGAGAUCACUUGCUUACUAUCAUUGGGUAUAAAAUAGAUUUUUGGUACUUCGGUGUUUUGGGCUGCCUUGUCACAAAAUAUAUAUGCUUUGAUCAGAAAGUUUAAACUUUCUUCCAAGUGUACUCAUAUUUGCCAGAAACCUUUGGAGACAAAGA